This 329-nucleotide long non-coding RNA is filed under the name Capsella rubella. RNAcentral's name for it is "long non-coding RNA (CRUB_LNC002759)". The record is from RNAcentral. Lineage: Eukaryota; Viridiplantae; Streptophyta; Magnoliopsida; Brassicales; Brassicaceae.
AAAAAUCAGUUUAAAGUCAUUUGCAGCCAAUGGUUAUAACUACUUUCCUUUAAAGAACUGACAAAUGGUCACAACUUACUCAUACAAUGAAUGAAAAAAAUGAACACUAGCUAACAACUUUGUUUGGGCAAAUAAUAGUUUUUUUUUUUUUUUUUGGGCAAACGGCAAAUAAUAGUUAUGUGUUAUUCACGAAUCAGUGAGGAAAACUAUAGGAUUUUUUUUUUUGAUAAACCCUAUCGGCUGAUCCGGCCAGCACGAGUAGAAACGCACCGAAGUGUUUCAGAGUGGACUUCUCCCCAAAGGGCCACUAUACUAUUUAUCCCGAGUUU